RNAcentral lists this ribosomal RNA (497 nucleotides) under uncultured bacterium. RNAcentral describes it as "partial 16S ribosomal RNA". It matches the Rfam family "Bacterial small subunit ribosomal RNA", at positions 28 to 507 of the family's 1533-position model. The record is from RNAcentral.
GAUGAACGCUGGCGGCGUGCCUAAUACAUGCAAGUCGAGCGAACGGACGCGAAGCUUGCUUCUCUGAUGUUAGCGGCGGACGGGUGAGUAACACGUGGAUAACCUACCUAUAAGACUGGGAUAACUUCGGGAAACCGGAGCUAAUACCGGAUGAUAUUUUGAACCGCAUGGUUCAAAAGUGAAAGACGGUCUUGCUGUCACUUAUAGAUGGUUCCGCGCUGCAUUAGCUAGUUGGUAAGGUAAUGGCUUACCAAGGCAACGAUGCAUAGCCGACCUGAGAGAGUGAUCGGCCACACUGGAGCUGAGACACGGUCCAGACUCCUACGGGAGGGAGCAGUAGGGAAUCUUCCGCAAUGGGCGAAAGCCUGACGGAGCAGCGCCGCGUGAGUGAUGAAGGUCUUCGGAUCGUAAAACUCUGUUAUUAGGGAAAAACAUAUGUGUAAGUAACUGUGCACAGCUUGACGGUACCUAAUCAGAAAGCCACGGCUAACUACGUG